AGUGAACGCUGGCGGUAGGCCUAACACAUGCAAGUCGAACGGCAGCACAGAGGAGCUUGCUCCUUGGGUGGCGAGUGGCGGACGGGUGAGGAAUACAUCGGAAUCUACUCUGUCGUGGGGGAUAACGUAGGGAAACUUACGCUAAUACCGCAUACGACCUACGGGUGAAAGCAGGGGACCUUCGGGCCUUGCGCGAUUGAAUGAGCCGAGGUCGGAUUAGCUAGUUGGCGGGGUAAAGGCCCACCAAGGCGACGAUCCGUAGCUGGUCUGAGAGGAUGAUCAGCCACACUGGAACUGAGACACGGUCCAGGCUCCUACGGGAGGCAGCAGUGGGGAAUAUUGGACAAUGGGCGCAAGCCUGAUCCAGCCAUACCGCGUGGGUGAAGAAGGCCUUCGGGUUGUAAAGCCCUUUUGUUGGGAAAGAAAUCCAGCCGGCUAAUACCCGGUUGGGAUGACGGUACCCAAAGAAUAAGCACCGGCUAACUUCGUGCCAGCCGCCGCCGUAA
RNAcentral lists this ribosomal RNA (506 nucleotides) under uncultured bacterium. RNAcentral's name for it is "partial 16S ribosomal RNA". It matches the Rfam family "Bacterial small subunit ribosomal RNA", at positions 29 to 523 of the family's 1533-position model. The record is from RNAcentral.